RNAcentral lists this ribosomal RNA (378 nucleotides) under uncultured eukaryote. RNAcentral's name for it is "partial 18S ribosomal RNA". It matches the Rfam family "Eukaryotic small subunit ribosomal RNA", at positions 592 to 975 of the family's 1831-position model. The record is from RNAcentral.
CAAUAGCGUAUAUUAAAGUUGUUGCAGUUAAAAAGCUCGUAGUUGAACUUCAGGCCUGGCCGGGCGGUCUGCCUAACGGUAUGUACUGUCUGGCUGGGUCUUACCUCUUGGUGAGCCGGCAUGCCCUUUACUGGGUGUGUCGGGGAACCAGGACUUUUACCUUGAGAAAAUUAGAGUGUUCAAAGCAGGCCUAUGCCCGAAUACAUUAGCAUGGAAUAAUAAAAUAGGACGUGCGGUUCUAUUUUGUUGGUUUUUAGGAUCGCCGUAAUGAUUAAUAGGGAUAGUUGGGGGCAUUAGUAUUCAGUUGCUAGAGGUGAAAUUCUUGGAUUUACUGAAGACUAACUAUUGCGAAAGCAUUUGCCAAGGAUGUUUUCAUUA